RNAcentral lists this ribosomal RNA (495 nucleotides) under uncultured bacterium. Its description in RNAcentral is "partial 16S ribosomal RNA". It matches the Rfam family "Bacterial small subunit ribosomal RNA", at positions 30 to 507 of the family's 1533-position model. The record is from RNAcentral.
UGAACGCUGGCGGCGUGCCUAAUACAUGCACGUCGAGCGAACAGACGAGGAGCUUGCUCCUCUGACGUUAGCGGCGGACGGGUGAGUAACACGUGGAUAACCUACCUAUAAGACUGGGAUAACUUCGGGAAACCGGAGCUAAUACCGGAUAAUAUAUUGAACCGCAUGGUUCAAUAGUGAAAGACGGUUUUGCUGUCACUUAUAGAUGGAUCCGCGCCGCAUUAGCUAGUUGGUAAGGUAACGGCUUACCAAGGCAACGAUGCGUAGCCGACCUGAGAGGGUGAUCGGCCACACUGGAACUGAGACACGGUCCAGACUCCUACGGGAGGCAGCAGUAGGGAAUCUUCCGCAAUGGGCGAAAGCUUGACGGAGCAACGCCGCGUGAGUGAUGAAGGUCUUCGGAUCGUAAAACUCUGUUAUUAGGGAAGAACAAAUGUGUAAGUAACUAUGCACGUCUUGACGGUACCUAAUCAGAAAGCCACGGCUAACUACGUG